This 253-nucleotide ribosomal RNA is filed under the name uncultured bacterium. Its description in RNAcentral is "partial 16S ribosomal RNA". It matches the Rfam family "Bacterial small subunit ribosomal RNA", at positions 524 to 776 of the family's 1533-position model. The record is from RNAcentral.
UACAGAGGUCUCGAGCGUUAGGCGGAAUCACUGGGCUUAAAGCGUGUGUAGGCGGAUCGUUAAGUACCUUGUGAAAUCCCACGGCUUAACCGUGGAACUGCUUGGUAUACUGGCGGUCUUGAGCCAGCUAGGGGCUACCGGAACAAAUGGUGGAGCGGCGAAAUGCGUAGAUAUCAUUUGGAACGCCAAUGGUGAAAACAGGUAGCUGGGGCUGUGCUGACGCUGAGACACGAAAGCCAGGGGAGCAAACGGG